Chrysemys picta bellii (western painted turtle) is the source of this 513-nucleotide long non-coding RNA. RefSeq lists it as uncharacterized. NCBI's taxonomy places the organism in Eukaryota, Metazoa, Chordata, Testudines, Emydidae. The record is from RefSeq and is a predicted model, not a curated record.
UCAUGGUAACUUGAUUCUGCAGAGAUUUAAUGGUCCCUAUGAGACUGAUUAUGGUGGAGAAACACAUACAUAUAUGUAAUGUGUCUUCUGUAUAGAUAGUGCACUAUCUACAUCCUCCACACUUCCGAUGUUCGCUUGUUGAUUUCUUCCCUCCUGCCUCAAGGAGAGACCUACACAUGAAUUCAUCCCAUCAUCUUCCCACAGCCCCCAUUGGCCUGGAGCGGCGAACCGCGGCCAGUGCGAGCCGCGAUCGGCUGAACCUGCGGAUGCAGCAGAUUCGUACAGUUGGAUUCUAAAGAAGCACACAUUCUAAAGAAUACCAAUAGUACAACGGUAAAUUGGCUGGAUUCAAAAACAGAUUAAAUAACCCAAAACCUACAUUAUCAAGGAAAACAGAGUUAAUAGUGAUGAAAAUGUGAUGCCACUUUGAAAAUUCUAACUGAAGUCACUAUGUUCAACAUGCUACAGAUGACUGAGCUGCCAGCAUAAUAGGAAGCAGAAAAAAAAUGUAAA